This 71-nucleotide transfer RNA is filed under the name Pseudogastromyzon fasciatus. RNAcentral describes it as "tRNA-Trp". It matches the Rfam family "tRNA". Rfam says of the family: Transfer RNA (tRNA) molecules are approximately 80 nucleotides in length. Their secondary structure includes four short double-helical elements and three loops (D, anti-codon, and T loops). Further hydrogen bonds mediate the characteristic L-shaped molecular structure. tRNAs have two regions of fundamental functional importance: the anti-codon, which is responsible for specific mRNA codon recognition, and the 3' end, to which the tRNAs corresponding amino acid is attached (by aminoacyl-tRNA synthetases). tRNAs cope with the degeneracy of the genetic code in two manners: having more than one tRNA (with a specific anti-codon) for a particular amino acid; and 'wobble' base-pairing, i.e. permitting non-standard base-pairing at the 3rd anti-codon position. RNAcentral also lists the same sequence under 3 other names. The record is from RNAcentral. Lineage: Eukaryota; Metazoa; Chordata; Actinopteri; Cypriniformes; Gastromyzontidae.
AGGGGCUUAGGAUAAUCCUAGACCAAGAGCCUUCAAAGCUCUAAGUAGGAGUGAAAAUCUCCUAGCCCCUG